Molecule: long non-coding RNA, 249 nt
Organism: Bolinopsis microptera
Lineage: Eukaryota; Metazoa; Ctenophora; Tentaculata; Lobata; Bolinopsidae
Exons: 3
Source: RefSeq, a predicted model, not a curated record
AGGAAGAUAUGUCUUUGGAAACACUAGUUCGACUGAAAAAACAAAAAAGUUCUUUGGACGAAGAAAUAAAGGGACUGAGAAACACGAUUUCACAGCGGAACGCAGAGCUGACAGAGUCUCAUAACCAACGGAGGAACCUUGAGGAGGAACUGAACCGGAUAGCGCUGAGAAACAACGGCCUUGAGCAAGUUGAUCUGGUAAAUAACCACACGAUGGAGCAGAUGCAGCAGCAAAAGGACAGUAUAGACU